GACGAACGCUGGCGGCGUGCUUAACACAUGCAAGUCGAACGGAAAGGCCCUGCUUUUGUGGGGUGCUCGAGUGGCGAACGGGUGAGUAACACGUGAGUAACCUGCCCUUGACUUUGGGAUAACUUCAGGAAACUGGGGCUAAUACCGGAUAGGAGCUCCUGCUGCAUGGUGGGGGUUGGAAAGUUUCGGCGGUUGGGGAUGGACUCGCGGCUUAUCAGCUUGUGGGUGGGGUAGUGGCUUACCAAGGCUUUGACGGGUAGCCGGCCUGAGAGGGUGACCGGCCACAUUGGGACUGAGAUACGGCGCAGACUCCUACGGGAGGCAGCAGUGGGGAAUAUUGCACAAUGGGCGGAAGCCUGAUGCAGCAACGCCGCGUGCGGGAUGACGGCCUUCGGGUUGUAAACCGCUUUCGCCUGUGACGAAGCGUGAGUGACGGUAAUGGGUAAAGAAGCACCGGCUAACUACGUG
RNAcentral lists this ribosomal RNA (468 nucleotides) under uncultured bacterium. RNAcentral describes it as "partial 16S ribosomal RNA". It matches the Rfam family "Bacterial small subunit ribosomal RNA", at positions 28 to 507 of the family's 1533-position model. The record is from RNAcentral.